Molecule: long non-coding RNA, 890 nt
Filed under: Cottoperca gobio
Lineage: Eukaryota; Metazoa; Chordata; Actinopteri; Perciformes; Bovichtidae
Description: lncRNA (ENSCGOG00000000322.1)
Source: RNAcentral
CCUUUUCAGGUUGACGACGUGGCAUUUCAGGUAAGAUCAUGAGGUGAAAUAAAUGGUAUAUACAGUAUACUGUAUGUUUGAAAUGACAGGCGUCACUGAAUAUCAUUUUCUUCAAACUAACCAUGUGACGUUUCAUCCAUAGAACACCACUGAUGUGACCCUGAAGGAGGUAAACAAUAUGACUCAUGACUUCAUUUAACUUUAAUUAACAAACUAUUCACUUCAUGUUGUAAAUUACACCUUCUUAUGACAUGUUAUGAUUUCCCUCUGUGAUCGUACAGGGGGAGAACACGUUUCUGAUGCCGAAGGUAAAUGACUGAAUAAUCCAUUUCAUUGUUAAGUUUUAUAACAGUUAAAUAAUGAGAAAUAAAGAUUCUAAAAAUUAUUAUCAAUGAAAACUAAUGACUGACAAUUUAUUUGUAGCGUGGUGGAAGAGGACACCGCCAUCAUAAGGUAGAAAAAGUCAUUUAACUCUUUAAAGCAAUAGUUACGAUAUCAAAGCUCAGACAGUUGGUCUGAUUUGUACAGGUUGCUUCAUUUACAGGCAGGAAGACACGGGCCUCAAAAGACUGGGCAAUAUGUGAAGCUCCUCUACAACGCCACAGAGCCGAACAAAGUCUCCAUUGAGUUUGGGGUUUUGAAACCGAUGAAUCUUGGUGAAUUUCGUGGAAAGGAGGACAAUCUAGAGGAAGAUUACUGACAACUUUAAAAGUAGGAAACCAACAAAUACUCAGUUUGAUCAACCAACUUUAAAGAAGAUUUUCUUUCCUGUAGUUCUGAGAAAUCACUUCUGUAAUUCGGCAUUUUCCUCUAAAAUCAUCAUUUCUGUGUACUACAAUAAAAAUCUUAAGCAAAUUACUUUGGCAAAGUUCUUUAUUUGACAUGUUUUG